Molecule: ribosomal RNA, 458 nt
Filed under: uncultured bacterium
Lineage: Bacteria
Description: partial 16S ribosomal RNA
Rfam family: Bacterial small subunit ribosomal RNA
Source: RNAcentral
CCUACGGGUGGCAGCAGUGAGGAAUAUUGGUCAAUGGGCGAGAGCCUGAACCAGCCAAGUCGCGUGAGGGAGUACUGCCCUAUGGGUUGUAAACCUCUUUUGUCGGGGAGCAAAAGCCGGACGUGUCCGGCUGUGAGAGUACCCGAAGAAAAAGCAUCGGCUAACUCCGUGCCAGCAGCCGCGGUAAUACGGAGGAUGCGAGCGUUAUCCGGAUUUAUUGGGUUUAAAGGGUGCGCAGGGGGAUUUUUAAGUCAGCGGUAAAAUCGUGGGGCUCAACCCCAUCCAGCCGUUGAAACUGGGGAUCUAGAGUGUGCGAGAGGUAUGCGGAAUGCGUGGUGUAGCGGUGAAAUGCAUAGAUAUCACGCAGAACCCCGAUUGCGAAGGCAGCAUACCGGUGCACAACUGACGCUCAGGCACGAAAGCGUGGGUAUCGAACAGGAUUAGAUACCCUUGUAGUC